Molecule: long non-coding RNA, 798 nt
Organism: Rosa rugosa (rugosa rose)
Lineage: Eukaryota; Viridiplantae; Streptophyta; Magnoliopsida; Rosales; Rosaceae
Exons: 4
Source: RefSeq, a predicted model, not a curated record
CCUAAUGUUACUCUCGCUCGACUCCUUCAUUCUGAACUCACCCCAAACAGAUCUCCUCCCAAACUCGACCUCCAUUCUCAACCCGACCCCAAACUUGACCUCCUCCUCCAUUCUCUAGCUCAGACCCGGACCCAGCCUCCUCCGCCUUUCUCCGCAUCCGCCUCCGUCUCCGACCCCAACCCUAAACCCCUCCUCCUUUCUCCUUCUUCGUCUCAGAAACAAUGAACGUGAAGAACACCCCCACAGAGACCACUGGCGAGUCUCGAUUCUUGGGAACCAUCUCCGCCUCAUCGAUUCGAAACCUCCACCCCAGAUCCAUCUCAACCAAGCACGGAAAAUCCUUCUUCAGCCCCAAAAUUGCCGCACCAAAUGCCGAAAAAGCCCCUUUCACCUAACCCUUACAUCCAAGCUGACCACGAUUCAGCUUUCGCUACCAAGCCGCUACCAGUACCGUUCGAUUUGCCCAAAUCUCCGACCUCUGCCGCUCAGAACAUUCCGGUGAAGGUUUGUUCCGUACUUCAUUCAGCCUGGAUGUUGAUGUUGCAUGAUGAAGACUUGAAAGGAUUACUAAUUCAAAGAACACAGUCAUAGGUUGUGGACUGUUUGGUACAGUUUUUCAUGAUUGAUCUCUGUCGAGUUGUUGGGUUGUGCGAGUUGUUUGAAGAUCUCACUAUUAAUAUUGAGGAUAACCUACAAAUGGAAAUGAAGUGCACAAGCCAUUCGUGUCAAAUGGUAACAAAUGUUGAUGAUGGGCCUGGAGAGAAGAAGAUGCUCAAGGAGAGCUAUUCUUAAUCAAUG